GGUGAAGUCAGCUAAUUUUAAAGCUUUCGGGCCCAUACCCCGAAUAUGACGGUUAAAAUCCAUCCUCUACCU
This 72-nucleotide transfer RNA is filed under the name Balantiocheilos melanopterus (tricolor sharkminnow). Its description in RNAcentral is "tRNA-Met". It matches the Rfam family "tRNA". From Rfam's summary of the family: Transfer RNA (tRNA) molecules are approximately 80 nucleotides in length. Their secondary structure includes four short double-helical elements and three loops (D, anti-codon, and T loops). Lineage: Eukaryota; Metazoa; Chordata; Actinopteri; Cypriniformes; Cyprinidae. The record is from RNAcentral.